AGCCCAAUACUCGCGAAUUUGUUACGAUCGGCCAGGGUAAUCUUUUGUUCUUCCUUGCAUCCGUGAGGUCAGGGUAAGGAUAUCCUCCUUCCUACAUGCGUGAGGUCAGGGUAAGGAUAUCCUCCUUCCUACAUGCGUGAGGUCAGGGUAAGGAUAUCCUCCUUCCUACAUGCGUGAGGUCAGGGUAAGGAUAUCCUCCUUCCUACAUGCGUGAGGUCAGGGUAAGGAUAUCCUCCUUCCUACAUGCGUGAGGUCAGGGUAAGGAUAUUUGCAGAUCGGAUGUUAUGAAGGAGUAAGUGGAACCGAGGAAAGCGAGGAGAACUCUAUGGAAAUUUCCAUGCGGUUGGGUGGAUUGAGUGUUUAAAAGAGGAAUGAGAUGAGAAGAGGAACUUUUGCUGUUGAAUAUAUACAUAAGCCAUAACAACCGUAUUUUUGCUAUAUACAUGCAUAUCAAAUUACAAAUUAAGAGAUAACUUUACUAAAACUGAGCCUGCUUUUGUGAGAAAGUAAAUAUUUAACAAGUUAAACGCUGUAAAUUUUUAUUCUACUUUCCGUUCUGGAGGCAUGUCGCGCGAAUUGCAGCAAGUUGUGCUGUGCGUGCACGUUUAAACAUGUCCCAAUGAUACAGGACAAUGCAAAA
Anopheles stephensi (Asian malaria mosquito) is the source of this 640-nucleotide long non-coding RNA. RefSeq lists it as uncharacterized. The record is from RefSeq and is a predicted model, not a curated record. Lineage: Eukaryota; Metazoa; Arthropoda; Insecta; Diptera; Culicidae. The transcript is spliced from 2 exons.